This 414-nucleotide ribosomal RNA is filed under the name uncultured bacterium. Its description in RNAcentral is "bacterial SSU rRNA". It matches the Rfam family "Bacterial small subunit ribosomal RNA", at positions 355 to 761 of the family's 1533-position model. The record is from RNAcentral.
UGGGGAAUAUUGGACAAUGGGGGCAACCCUGAUCCAGCGAUGCCGCGUGUGUGAAGAAGGCCUGCGGGUUGUAAAGCACUUUAGUUGGGGAGGAAAGGUAUGUACUGCAUAAGUGCAUGCUGUGACGUUACCCAAAGAAUAAGCACCGGCAAACUCUGUGCCAGCAGCCGCGGUAAUACAGAGGGUGCAAGCGUUAAUCGGACUUACUGGGCGUAAAGCGCGUGUAGGUGGAUGAAUAAGUUGGAUGUGAAAGCCCCGGGCUCAACCUGGGAAUGCCAUUCAAAACUGUUCAUCUAGAGUAUGGUAGAGGGAAGUGGAAUUUCAGGUGUAGCGGUGAAAUGCGUAGAUAUCUGAAGGAACACCAGUGGCGAAGGCGGCUUCCUGGACCAAUACUGACACUGAGACGCGAAAGCG